RNAcentral lists this ribosomal RNA (434 nucleotides) under Capnocytophaga gingivalis. RNAcentral describes it as "bacterial SSU rRNA". It matches the Rfam family "Bacterial small subunit ribosomal RNA", at positions 28 to 465 of the family's 1533-position model. The record is from RNAcentral. Lineage: Bacteria; Pseudomonadati; Bacteroidota; Flavobacteriia; Flavobacteriales; Flavobacteriaceae.
GAUGAACGCUAGCGGCAGGCCUAACACAUGCAAGUCGAGGGAGAAGCCCUUCGGGGCAGAAACCGGCGCACGGGUGCGUAACGCGUAUGCAACCUACCUUUCACAGGGGGAUAGCCCGAAGAAAUUUGGAUUAAUACCCCAUAAUAUUGUUGGAUGGCAUCAUCUGGCAAUUAAAACUGAGGUGGUGAGAGAUGGGCAUGCGUCCUAUUAGCUAGUUGGAGUGGUAACAGCACCCCAAGGCUACGAUAGGUAGGGGUCCUGAGAGGGAGAUCCCCCACACUGGUACUGAGACAGGGACCAGACUCCUACGGGAGGCAGCAGUGAGGAAUAUUGGUCAAUGGUCGGAAGACUGAACCAGCCAUGCCGCGUGCAGGAAGAAUGCCUUAUGGGUUGUAAACUGCUUUUAUAUGGGAAGAAUAAGGUGUACGUGUACA